CACGUAGGGUGCGAGCGUUGUCCGGAAUUAUUGGGCGUAAAGAGCUCGUAGGCGGUGUGUCGCGUCGGCCGUGAAAACCUGCAGCUUAACUGUGGGCUUGCGGUCGAUACGGGCAUCACUGGAGUUCGGCAGGGGAGACUGGAAUUCCUGGUGUAGCGGUGAAAUGCGCAGAUAUCAGGAGGAACACCGGUGGCGAAGGCGGGUAUCUGGCUCAACACUGACACUUAGACCCGAAAGCGUGGGGAUCAAACAGG
This 254-nucleotide ribosomal RNA is filed under the name uncultured bacterium. RNAcentral's name for it is "partial 16S ribosomal RNA". It matches the Rfam family "Bacterial small subunit ribosomal RNA", at positions 524 to 776 of the family's 1533-position model. The record is from RNAcentral.